GGAGUCUAACACAUAUGCGAGUGUGCUGGCGGAAAAACCAACACGCGUAAUGAAAGUAACAGGUGCCAAGCGCAAGCAGCAGCAUCGGCCGACCAUGAUCAUUAGAGAAAGGUUUGAGUAUGAGCAUAUUUGUUAGGACCCGAAAGAUGGUGAACUAUGCUUGAGUAGGGUGAAGUCAGGGGAAACUCUGAUGGAGGCUCGUAGCGAUACUGACGUGCAAAUCGUUCGUCAAAACUUGAGUAUAGGGGCGAAAGACUAAUCGAACCAUCUAGUAGCUGGUUCCUCCCGAAGUUUCUCUCAGGAUAGCAAGAUCAAUAUUGCAGUUUUAUCAGGUAAAAGCGAAUGAUUAGAGGAUUCUGGGGGAGUAAUUCCCUAGACCUAUUCUCAAACUUUAAAUUGGUAAGAACUCGUUAUUUCUUAAUUGAAUAGCGGGGAUGAAUGCAUGAUCUUAGUGGGCCAUUUUGGUAAGCAGGACUGGCGAUGAGGGAUGAACCUAACGUUGAG
RNAcentral lists this ribosomal RNA (504 nucleotides) under uncultured eukaryote. Its description in RNAcentral is "eukaryotic LSU rRNA". It matches the Rfam family "Eukaryotic large subunit ribosomal RNA", at positions 670 to 1179 of the family's 3401-position model. The record is from RNAcentral.